UCGGAUUGCAGGCUGCAACCCGCCUGCAUGAAGUUGGAAUCGCUAGUAAUCGCGGAUCAGCAUGCCGCGGUGAAUACGUUCCCGGGCCUUGUACACACCGCCCGUCACACCAUGAGAGUCGGGAACACCCGAAGUCCGUAGUCUGACCGCAAGGGGGACGCGGCGAAGGUGAGUUCGAUAAUUGGGGUGAAGUCGUAACAAGGUACC
Molecule: ribosomal RNA, 207 nt
Filed under: uncultured bacterium
Lineage: Bacteria
Description: partial 16S ribosomal RNA
Rfam family: Bacterial small subunit ribosomal RNA
Source: RNAcentral